GCCGGAGGGGAGGUUGGGAGGGGCUUUAUCACCCUGAUUGUAUGCACCCUGAGACACACAGCUGAGAGCCUGCAGGGAGCCCCGAGGGGAAGGAGCCGGAGUGGAGGGAAGAUCAGAACCCGAGGGGUUGGUGAUUCUUGGUGAUUUGCAGAGAGGAGGUUUCUUUUGAGAAGUGUGGAGAGGUCAGCAAGCCUUGGCUUCCACCCUGUGGGGUCCGCAGCCUGCAGGCCCUGAGCACCUGCCCUGGACGAACAGGCAGAGAGAGCCUCCGUCCUGGCCAAGGAAGGAAGAGCAGAAGGCCAGGAACAGAAGAGGCUGCGCUUCUGAAGUGUUGAUGUCAUCGUCUCCUGCGGAGCCAGACUGAUCCAGUUACUUUGCUGAAAGUUGAUG
This 390-nucleotide long non-coding RNA is filed under the name Canis lupus familiaris (dog). RNAcentral describes it as "lncRNA (ENSCAFG00845014685.1)". The record is from RNAcentral. Lineage: Eukaryota; Metazoa; Chordata; Mammalia; Carnivora; Canidae.